CGGGGGUGGAGUAAUGUCUGGGAAACUGCCUGAUGGAGGGGGAUAGCUACUGGAAACGGUAGCUAAUACCGCAUAACGUCGCAAGACCAAGAGGGGACCUUCGGGCCUCUUGCCAUCGGAUGUGCCCAGAUGGGAUUAGCUAGUAGGUGGGGUAACGGCUCACCUAGGCGACGAUCCCUAGCUGGUCUGAGAGGAUGACCAGCCACACUGGAACUGAGACACGGUCCAG
RNAcentral lists this ribosomal RNA (229 nucleotides) under uncultured bacterium. RNAcentral's name for it is "partial 16S ribosomal RNA". It matches the Rfam family "Bacterial small subunit ribosomal RNA", at positions 104 to 334 of the family's 1533-position model. The record is from RNAcentral.